Molecule: ribosomal RNA, 253 nt
Filed under: uncultured bacterium
Lineage: Bacteria
Description: partial 16S ribosomal RNA
Rfam family: Bacterial small subunit ribosomal RNA
Source: RNAcentral
UACGUAGGGUGCAAGCGUUGUCCGGAAUUAUUGGGCGUAAAGAGCGUGUAGGCGGCCAGGUAGGUCCGCUGUGAAAACUCGAGGCUCAACCUCGAGAUGUCGGCGGAAACCAUCUGGCUAGAGUCCGGAAGAGGAGAGUGGAAUUCCUGGUGUAGCGGUGAAAUGCGCAGAUAUCAGGAAGAACACCCGUGGCGAAAGCGGCUCUCUGGAACGGUACUGACGCUGAGACGCGAAAGCGUGGGGAGCGAACAGG